Molecule: long non-coding RNA, 1000 nt
Filed under: Piliocolobus tephrosceles (Ugandan red Colobus)
Lineage: Eukaryota; Metazoa; Chordata; Mammalia; Primates; Cercopithecidae
Description: lncRNA (ENSPTEG00000031512.1)
Source: RNAcentral
UAGGAAGUAGGCACCACAAAGGUGGUGAUGAUUUCCAAACCUAUGUGAAUGAAAUGACUCAUGAUAAAUAAAAGUGGCAUAUGCUUAUUGCCUUAUUUGUGAGAACUGAGACUUAACUGGUGCAUAGAGUGCUGUUUGGUGUUACACAGAGAUUCAUCAAUAGGAGAGUGACUGCAUAAAUUAUGGCCCAUCAAUCCAUGGAAUACUACACAGCCAUGAAAACGAGUAAGUACUAGAAGACUGAUGCUGUAAGAUAUCUACAGUCCAUUGUCAAGUAAAAAAAAAAAAAACCCUUGUAGAGGCAUAAUUAGAAAUCUAUAAUAAACUGCAGACAACGAUUACCUCUAGGUAGUAGAAUUGUGUGUGUGUGUGUGUACGUAUGUGUUAUAUGAUACAUUUUUACAGGGUUUAAUUUUUAAAGACAAGCAUUUAUUUCCUGUAAUAAAACAUUUUAAAAUAGUUUUAGAAAGGAAUAUGUUGAGGGACUUCUUUCUUUUUUUGUUGUGAUAAAAUACAUAGAACAUAAUAUUUAUAAUUUUAACCAUUUGUAAGUGUACAAUUAGCACAAUUUAAAUAUGCUCACAAUGUUUUAUAACCGUCUCUGCUAUUUAUGACCCCCAAUUUUUAAUCAUUCCCAUCAAAAACGUCAUAUCUAUUAAACAAUCAUUUUCCCUUUCCCUCUCCCUGCAGCCCCUGGAUACCUCUAUUCUACUUUCUCUCUCUGGAUUUGAGCAACCAGGCAAAACCUGCCCCAGCCCUGUUGCAGCAGAGGGCAAAAUCCCUCGCGGAAGAAGAAGGGAGGAGCCUGCAUUGAUUAACACAUUACCAUUCCUGAAUGAAUUUACAUUCAUGAAUUAUAAUAUCGAACCAUUUCUCUGAAUUUUAUUCAAAAGAGCUGCUACCUGGUAUUUAUGCAAAAAUCCCUGUGCCCUACAGUGAAGUGUGUGUUUGUUAAACACAGUAGUUGUGACAAUUUUGCAGGACAGAUGGAAAUUCUAGA